This is an RNA transcript of Homo sapiens (human), 3586 nucleotides long. It is a transcript of the gene named Bet1 golgi vesicular membrane trafficking protein, with no coding region annotated. The record is from RefSeq and is marked reviewed. NCBI's taxonomy places the organism in Eukaryota, Metazoa, Chordata, Mammalia, Primates, Hominidae. The transcript is spliced from 7 exons.
ACUGAUGUCGUGGCGCUUUAGGGGAAGAAGUUGGUGUUUCGCUGGGCCCUGGUACUGAAGACGCGGUCCGGGUCGCCCCUAGCUGUUUCCUACUCACCCAAAGCCCCGCACCCGCCUUUUCUCUCUCUCCUCUGGCAGGAUGAGGCGUGCAGGCCUGGGUGAAGGAGUACCUCCUGGCAACUAUGGGAACUAUGGCUAUGCUAAUAGUGGGUAUAGUGCCUGUGAAGAAGAAAAUGAGAGGCUCACUGAAAGUCUGAGAAGCAAAGUAACUGCUAUAAAAUCUCUUUCCAUUGAAAUAGGCCAUGAAGUUAAAACCCAGAAUAAAUUAUUAGCUGAAAUGGAUUCACAAUUUGAUUCCACAACUGGAUUUCUAGUGGAUCCUUCAGGUUCCAGGGAUUUCACCAGUAGCAGUGAAAGCCUACUUCUGCUAAUUUUGACUGUUCCUCAGCAUUUGUCCAGAAGCUUAAAAAGAAGGAGGCUUACUUUCAGUGCCAUCUAUCACAGCUGCAGAAUUAUAUCAUGACAUGUCAAAAUAAUGACUCUGAAGCCUUCCAAAUCUUCCAAGAAAGAAGAAUCCUUAUUUUAGAUUAGUAGGAAAUGGCUUUCUACCACUCUGAAAAGUCUCUUCUUGGCCAAACAUCAAAGUCUGGAGCCAGAGAUAAAUUAAUGCAGAGAACUCCUAGUUGGGCAAUCAGUUCCAGACUCCACAGACCCCAGGACACAAACUCUAUUCAAGAAUCUGUUUGUGAUGGUUCAGAAGUUUUCAAGCUUGCUUUGGGUACAAACUGUAUUUCCAACACUUCUAGCCCUAUAUAUACCUGUCAAUGAUAUUAUACUUAUAAAUACAAAAGUCCUUAUUAUGGAUGAAGAAAUAGAUUAAUUAAAAUUGUAUAGAUUAUAUAUUAGCAUAUGAUAUUAUACAUCAUUAUAAAAACGAAGAAAUAGGACUUGAGCUUUUUUUCAAUUUUGCCACUGUUAAAAUCACUUGAAUCUUUACCUUUGGGAACUAGCAUUCACAAAAUGGUGAAUACUAACUCUUAUCCUGAUUUGCUACAAGAAACUAGUCUAGAAUGAGCAGUGUAAUUAUUAGCACUACACUCUUUCUAUGCUUCACACACUACAGAAUCUUCAUCUUCAAGUCUGUAAUUCCUCAAAGUACAUGGAUCAACAUUUAGGCUUCUGGAGGCCAGCAGUGAACGAGGCAGUGCAAAAAUGACCAUAAUUCACAGUCAACCAGCCAACAUGUGUAGCUCCGGGCACAUGUUAUUAUAUUCACUGGAUGUUAACAGGAUUUCUAGUUAGAUUGAGAGAUGAGAAACUCUUUAAAAAGCUCAUUCUCUUUGGUAGAAUGAUUUAUUUUCCUUUGGAUAGAUACUCAGUAAUGGGAUUGCUGGGCUAAGUGGUAGUUCUGUUUUAAAUUAGUUGAGAAAUCUCCAAGCUGAUUUCCACAGUGGCAGAACUAAUUUACAUUCCUACCAACUAUGUAUAAGUGUUCUCUUUUCUCUGCAGCCCCGCCAGCAUCUGUUAUUUUUUGACUUUUUAAUAAUAGCCAUUUUGACUGAUGUGCAAUCUCGUGGUAUCUCAUUGUGGUUUUGCUUUGCAUUUGUCUAGUAAUUACUGAUUAUGAGCAUUUUUUAAAUAUGUUUCUUGGCCGCUUGAAUGGCUUCUUUGGAGAAGUGUCUGUUCACAUCCUUUACCCACCUUUUAAUGGGGUUGUUUUUUUGCGUAUCGAUUUAAGUUCCUUAAAGAUUCUGGAAGUUACAUGCACUCAUAUGUUCAUCGCAGUGCUAUUCACAAUAACAAGGACAUGGAAUCAACUGGGGUGCCCUUCAACAGUGGACUGGAUAAAGAAAAUGUGGUACAUAUAUGCCAUGGAAUAUCACAUAGCCAUAAAAAAGAAUGAAAUCAUAUCCUUUGCAGCAACAUGCAUGCAGCUGGAGGUCAUAAUCCUAAUCGAAUUAAUGCAGGAACAGAAAACCAAAUACUGUAUGUUCUUACUUAUAAGUGGGAGCUAAACAUUGAGUGCACGUAGAUAUAAAAAUUGGAACAACAGGCACUGUAGAAGGGGGAAGGGAGGAAGGAAGGUAUGGGUUGAAAAACUAGCUAUUGGGUACUAUGCUCACUACUUGGGUGAGAAAUUCAUAUCUCAAACCUCAGCAUCAUGCAAUAUAACCAUGUAAAAAAUCUGCACAUGUAACCCCUGAAUCUAAAAUAAAAGUGGAAAUCGUUUUUAUUUUUGUAUUAUUUAUUUAUUUAUUUUUAUUUUUAUUUACUUAUUUUUUGAGAUAGAGUCUCGCCCUGCCACUGAGGCUGGAGUGCAGUGGCGCAAUCUUGGCUCACUGCAACCUCUACCUCCUGAGUUUAAGCGAUUCUCCUGGCUCAGCCUCCUGAGUAGCUGGGACUACAGGCACACAGCAUCAUGCCUAGCUAAUUUUUGUAUUUUUAGUAGAGACGGGGUUUCACUAUGUUGGUUGAAGGCUGAGGCUGACGGAUCACCUGAGGUCAGGAGUCUGAAAUUGUUUUUAAAAAGUAUGUUUUGAUAUAAAGCCUUUUUUCAAUUUUUUUUAAAGUCUAAUUCUUGACAGAGCAACAGAAACAAAUAAAGUAGAAGCCCAAAAGGAAAUUUGUCAUUACUAAAACCAACCAGGCUCAGGUGACUUUUCUUCUCCAUUCAGACGGGAACUUAAAUGAACAAAAAUAUCUUUAACAAAUUGAAGACAACUUAAAGAUCAGUUUAUUUAUUCAUUCAACAAAUAUUUAUUAACUGGCUGCCACAUAUCCAUCAUUGUUCUAAAUUCUGCAGAUAUAGUAGUCAAUUAAGAUCCUUCCCUCAGUGAAGACUUAACUUUGAGUGGAGAGAACAAAAAAUGGACAAAUAAAAUAUAUAGUAUGUCAAAUGAUAAGUGCUAUGAAAAAAAAUGACUACUAGAUUCAGCAUGCAUGUAUACUGACUUGCUCUUUAAAUUUUAAGAGUUUUAGGAAAUGUCUACAGUAUUAGUUUUCUUCUCAUACUGCUAUAAAGACAUACCUGAGACUGGGUAAUUUAUAAAGAAAAGAGGUUUAACCAGCUCAUGGUUCUUGGGGCUAUGCAGUUUUCUGCUUCUACAGAGGCCUCAGGAAACUUACAACCAUGGUGGAAUGCGAAAUGGAAGUAGACAGGAGAGAGUUUCAGUUUUAGUCUUAAAAGAAAAAAAAAUACAUCUCUAACUAACCCCAGUCCUUGUGUUAGCAACAACUACUCCUUUUGACUGGUUAGGGAAUGAGCAUCUGUGACAUGGGCUUGAUGAAGUCAUGGCCAAUGUUAACUUUAAAUAAGUUUGAAACUAUUGUUGAUACAAAACAAAUAAAUUGCAGAGGAUUUUUUCCAAACAUCCCAUAAAUGCAUAGAAUUGAAAGCAAGUUUCAUUUCCAAUAGUUAAAGAGUCUAAUGUAUCCACUUUUAAUUAUAGCCAAGAUGUUUACCAUCUUAUUUGAUGUUCUGUGCUGUGAACUGUUGGGAAUCUAUUAGCUCAGUAUUUUGAAUUUCAGAUAAUGUAUCCUGUGUUUUUUUUUUAAUAAAGGUUUAUCUGACCAUUAAAUUACAAAA